UACGGAGGGGGCUAGCGUUGUUCGGAUUUACUGGGCGUAAGGGCGCGCAGGCGGUCAUUUUUGUCGAGUGUGAAAGCCCCGGGCUUAACCUGGGAACUGCGCUCGAAACGGGAUGACUAGAGAUCGGGAGAGGAGAGUGGAAUUCCCAGUGUAGAGGUGAAAUUCGUAGAUAUUGGGAAGAACACCGGUGGCGAAGGCGGCUCUCUGGACCGAUACUGACGCUGAGGCGCGAAAGCGUGGGGAGCAAACAGG
Molecule: ribosomal RNA, 252 nt
Filed under: uncultured bacterium
Lineage: Bacteria
Description: partial 16S ribosomal RNA
Rfam family: Bacterial small subunit ribosomal RNA
Source: RNAcentral